AUGCUCCCCUCCAAGGACCGACGCCUCCGUCCUGCCUCCUCCCCAGCUGGCCCGCUGGAUGGCUGGCGCCGCCCGGCCACCGCCUCCCACCCCUCCGCCCGGCCACCGCCUACUGCGCCCACGACCACCACCACCCCACCGCACGACGCUGUUCUAGCCAUCUUCCUCCCCGCCGCCACUCUGGAUCCGGCAGUCACUGCGUUUCUCGUGUCGGAUCCAGCCGCCGUUCAGCCAGAUCUGCCGCCCGGCGUGCUACACCGGACACGCGCGGCGGUGGCGCUGGUACUGCGCGGGCGGUGGAGAGGGAGGAACACCACCUCGACGCCGCUGCCCCUGCCAUCUCCCGGCCUCGUCGACCAUCCCCUCGCCUCGUUCUGCGUCACCGUUGAGGAACAUGCAGUACGGCGCAGGCAGUUCGGCCAUUGUGGCAGUGCAGCUCGGAGGCGCGCGUAA
RNAcentral lists this ribosomal RNA (453 nucleotides) under Triticum aestivum (bread wheat). RNAcentral's name for it is "partial small subunit ribosomal RNA". The record is from RNAcentral. Lineage: Eukaryota; Viridiplantae; Streptophyta; Magnoliopsida; Poales; Poaceae.